UUGCCUUGACCUGCCCGUUGUGUUGUGUUUGCUGCCCUUGAGCUGUUUCUUCUACUGGAGAGAACAGAAGAGAUAGAAAAAUAAAGUUUUCCUCCAUUUUCUCAAGAAUUACUGGUCGUAUGAAAAUUCCAAUAAUAGCGUUGGAAUCCUCAUAAAAAUCCUCUUUUAUUGGCACAUAAAUCAUAAAAAGUUGCCUCCGGAAGUUUUGAGCUACGAGGUGAUGAAUGUAAGCAUUUAUUAUUUUUCUUUAAUCAAUUUUUUUUUUCCAAGUUGGUAAACUUUGCUAUUUAUUUGCAUUUCUUGAUAUUUUUUCCUUCAUAAGGCAGAAUAAUCUCUUCCAAAAUGAACGAUGUAUAAUAAUGCCCGGAAAAAAGAAUACCCAUGGCUGAAAUUGAUAACAUGAAUUUUUUUUUCGCCGCACAGUCAGGCCAUUCCGCAAAGCCCCCUGGGGAGCCCCAUACGGAUGUCGCAGUGGAAAGAGAAACUUAUUAAACUUUUGGUGCGUGAAAGGGUUAAUACCCUACAGAAAACUAAAGAAACUGCAAAAUAUUGACGUAUAACAGUAUAAAGUAUAAGAGUGCGGCCUAGCACAUGGCAGCUUGGGGGGCUAGGUUAUAUUAGGUUAUAGUUAUGUUAGAUAUGCUUUAGUUAGGUUGAGUCAAGUUAGGUUAUAUUAGGUAGGUGUUUGUUUUGAUUAUUUUAGGUAAUCGGAGCCCUUUCAUGAAUCUCGGUAAUAAUGAUGAUAAUAAUGAUAAUAAUAAUAAUAAUAAUAAUAAUAAUAAUAAUAAUAAUAAUAAUAAUAAUCUAAUUAGACCUAAUGCCACAUAACAGGAGCAUUCCUCCACUUGACUCCCGUUCAGCCAUUUCCAUGGACAAUAGUAGGAAAAGAAGUUGAAGAGUACGCUUUGUCGGAGCAAAAAGUGUCAAGCUCUGAUGUGUCGUUGAAAUAAGAGAAGCCAAGUAUGUAAAUCUAGUAAGGUAUCACGGUGGGGCCAAGGAGAGAGGGAUGGGGUAUUACUCUGGGUGUGUCAUUCAGUGCAAUGCUUGUCCCCAGGUGUGCAGUGUAGGGGAGCGUGAGCACCUGCCAGGCCGCUCACAGUGAUAGAGCCCUCAAGAAGACUAAGAAGCUGUGUUGCCGAGGACCACGUCUGGCUCCAGCAGCUCAGAUGAGGAGGCGUCACGGUUCAGGGGGGCGUGUGACCCCACGCUGUGGAGGACGGCCGCGCAGGGAGCCGCCAAGAAUGAAAUCUGCAGAGCGGAGGCAUCUGAUGAGAAGCCCCAGCCAAGGCGACCAGAGGCAGACCUUCAUGCUGCUGGAGAAGAUGCGCACAACCCUUGCCGGGGCGCAGGGCAAGGCAGGGUGUGUGGGGCUGAGGCGCAAGGAUGGCCAUGGCCCUGGCAUACAGGGCAGGCCAUCGUCAGGCAGGGCAGAGGCCAGCACAGCGAGGGUGGCCAUGGCCACACUCUCCCUUCCUGGCCAAGCAGCUCACCUUAAGACUGGACGGGUCAAGAUCUUCUCCCCGGACCUGCUGUACCGGUUGAUGUACUUGGCGGCAGUGAGUGACAUCCCCCUGUCUGUGGCCACUGACAUGCUGGAAGAGUGUGGCCUGGACUACCUCCCCAACACAGCCUGCUCGGACUGAGACCACUCACGCACAACACACCGCCACAACGAGGCCACAACUCCUUGCCUGACGUCGCGUCACUGCUAGGUGAACAGGGGCUACACGUGAAAGACCCAACUCAUCUUCACCCGGCCGGGGAAUUGAACCCCAGCCCUUCUGGUUGUGAGGCAGACGCUCUACCCACUGAGCUACCGGGCCGUGGGUUGUGGGCUGUGGCAGCAGCAGCAGCAGCGUUGAGGCGGGAUGCAGCGUGCUCUGAGGCGACCCCGGGCAGGAGGCAACAUGCGACCUCGAGCACCAGACCUUUUACCUCUAUUCAGGAGCAAUCGUGUAACUGAUGGAGGCUGGCACAGGAAGUUGCUGAUAUGUGGGCUAUAGCUGACUGGCUGGUGCUGUCUGGUCACUCAGCUCAGCAAGGGACUGGAAGCUGGAACUCUCUCUCUCACAAAAAAAAGUAAUGUAAAAGUGUAUAAGGUCCACUGAAAAGAAGAGAGAGAGAGAGAGCCAUCUCAUCC
This is an RNA transcript of Eriocheir sinensis (Chinese mitten crab), 2140 nucleotides long. RefSeq lists it as uncharacterized. NCBI's taxonomy places the organism in Eukaryota, Metazoa, Arthropoda, Malacostraca, Decapoda, Varunidae. The record is from RefSeq and is a predicted model, not a curated record. The transcript is spliced from 7 exons.